This 247-nucleotide ribosomal RNA is filed under the name uncultured Mycobacterium sp. RNAcentral's name for it is "partial 16S ribosomal RNA". It matches the Rfam family "Bacterial small subunit ribosomal RNA", at positions 527 to 773 of the family's 1533-position model. The record is from RNAcentral. Lineage: Bacteria; Bacillati; Actinomycetota; Actinomycetes; Mycobacteriales; Mycobacteriaceae.
GUAGGGUGCGAGCGUUGUCCGGAAUUACUGGGCGUAAAGAGCUCGUAGGUGGUUUGUCGCGUUGUUCGUGAAAUCUCACGGCUUAACUGUGAGCGUGCGGGCGAUACGGGCAGACUGGAGUACUGCAGGGGAGACUGGAAUUCCUGGUGUAGCGGUGGAAUGCGCAGAUAUCAGGAGGAACACCGGUGGCGAAGGCGGGUCUCUGGGCAGUAACUGACGCUGAGGAGCGAAAGCGUGGGGAGCGAAC